UUAGUGGAACGGUCUGGAAAGUCCGACGGUACAGGGUGAUAGUCCCGUACACCAAAAUGCACAGGCUGUGAACUCGAAGAGUAGGGCGGGACACGUGGUAUCCUGUCUGAAUAUGGGGGGACCAUCCUCCAAGGCUAAAUACUCCUGACUGACCGAUAGUGAACCAGUACCGUGAGGGAAAGGCGAAAAGAACCCCGGCGAGGGGAGUGAAAAAGAACCUGAAACCGUGUACGUACAAGCAGUGGGAGCACCUUCGGGUGUGACUGCGUACCUUUUGUAUAAUGGGUCAGCGACUUAUAUUCUGUAGCAAGGUUAACCGUAUAGGGGAGCCGCAGGGAAACCGAGUCUUAACUGGGCGUUAAGUUGCAGGGUAUAGACCCGAAACCCGGUGAUCUAGCCAUGGGCAGGUUGAAGGUUGGGUAACACUAACUGGAGGACCGAACCGACUAAUGUUGAAAAAUUAGCGGAUGACUUGUGGCUGGGGGUGAAAGGCCAAUCAAACCGGGAGAUAGCUGGUUCUCCCCGAAAGCUAUUUAGGUAGCGCCUCGUGAAUUCAUCUUCGGGGGUAGAGCACUGUUUCGGCUAGGGGGUCAUCCCGACUUACCAACCCGAUGCAAACUACGAAUACCGAAGAAUGUUAUCACGGGAGACACACGGCGGGUGCUAACGUCCGUCGUGAAGAGGGAAACAACCCAGACCGCCAGCUAAGGUCCCAAAGUCAUGGUUAAGUGGGAAACGAUGUGGGAAGGCACAGACAGCCAGGAUGUUGGCUUAGAAGCAGCCAUCAUUUAAAGAAAGCGUAAUAGCUCACUGGUCGAGUCGGCCUGCGCGGAAGAUGUAACGGGGCUAAACCAUGCACCGAAGCUGCGGCAGCGACACUAUGUGUUGUUGGGUAGGGGAGCGUUCUGUAAGCCUGCGAAGGUGACCUGUGAGGGUUGCUGGAGGUAUCAGAAGUGCGAAUGCUGACAUAAGUAACGAUAAAGCGGGUGAAAAGCCCGCUCGCCGGAAGACCAAGGGUUCCUGUCCAACGUUAAUCGGGGCAGGGUGAGUCGACCCCUAAGGCGAGGCCGAAAGGCGUAGUCGAUGGGAAACAGGUUAAUAUUCCUGUACUUGGUGUUACUGCGAAGGGGGGACGGAGAAGGCUAUGUUAGCCGGGCGACGGUUGUCCCGGUUUAAGCAUGUAGGCUGGUUGUCCAGGCAAAUCCGGAUAAUCAAGGCUGAGGUGUGAUGACGAGGCACUACGGUGCUGAAGUAACAAAUGCCCUGCUUCCAGGAAAAGCCUCUAAGCAUCAGGUAACAUCAAAUCGUACCCCAAACCGACACAGGUGGUCAGGUAGAGAAUACCAAGGCGCUUGAGAGAACUCGGGUGAAGGAACUAGGCAAAAUGGUGCCGUAACUUCGGGAGAAGGCACGCUGGUGUGUAGGUGAAGUCCCUGCGGAUGGAGCUGAGACCAGUCGAAGAUACCAGCUGGCUGCAACUGUUUAUUAAAAACACAGCACUGUGCAAACACGAAAGUGGACGUAUACGGUGUGACGCCUGCCCGGUGCCGGAAGGUUAAUUGAUGGGGUUAUCCGUAAGGAGAAGCUCUUGAUCGAAGCCCCGGUAAACGGCGGCCGUAACUAUAACGGUCCUAAGGUAGCGAAAUUCCUUGUCGGGUAAGUUCCGACCUGCACGAAUGGCGUAAUGAUGGCCAGGCUGUCUCCACCCGAGACUCAGUGAAAUUGAACUCGCUGUGAAGAUGCAGUGUACCCGCGGCAAGACGGAAAGACCCCGUGAACCUUUACUAUAGCUUGACACUGAACAUUGAGCCUUGAUGUGUAGGAUAGGUGGGAGGCUUUGAAGCGUGGACGCCAGUCUGCGUGGAGCCAACCUUGAAAUACCACCCUUUAAUGUUUGAUGUUCUAACGUUGGCCCCUGACCGGGGUUGCGGACAGUGUCUGGUGGGUAGUUUGACUGGGGCGGUCUCCUCCCAAAGCGUAACGGAGGAGCACGAAGGUUAGCUAAUCCUGGUCGGACAUCAGGAGGUUAGUGCAAUGGCAUAAGCUAGCUUGACUGCGAGCGUGACGGCGCGAGCAGGUGCGAAAGCAGGUCAUAGUGAUCCGGUGGUUCUGAAUGGAAGGGCCAUCGCUCAACGGAUAAAAGGUACUCCGGGGAUAACAGGCUGAUACCGCCCAAGAGUUCAUAUCGACGGCGGUGUUUGGCACCUCGAUGUCGGCUCAUCACAUCCUGGGGCUGAAGUAGGUCCCAAGGGUAUGGCUGUUCGCCAUUUAAAGUGGUACGCGAGCUGGGUUUAGAACGUCGUGAGACAGUUCGGUCCCUAUCUGCCGUGGGCGCUGGAGAAUUGAGGGGGGCUGCUCCUAGUACGAGAGGACCGGAGUGGACGCAUCACUGGUGUUCGGGUUGUCAUGCCAAUGGCACUGCCCGGUAGCUAAAUGCGGAAGAGAUAAGUGCUGAAAGCAUCUAAGCACGAAACUUGCCCCGAGAUGAGUUCUCCCUGAGACUUUAAGUCUCCUGAAGGAACGUU
This 2525-nucleotide ribosomal RNA is filed under the name Klebsiella pneumoniae. RNAcentral's name for it is "bacterial LSU rRNA". It matches the Rfam family "Bacterial large subunit ribosomal RNA", at positions 329 to 2839 of the family's 2925-position model. Lineage: Bacteria; Pseudomonadati; Pseudomonadota; Gammaproteobacteria; Enterobacterales; Enterobacteriaceae. The record is from RNAcentral.